UCUUCUUCUCUUUCUUCUUCUUCUUCUUCUUCUUCUUCUUCUUCUUCUUCUCCUCCUCCUUCUCCUUCUUCUCCUUCUCCUUCUUCUCCUCCUUUUUAUUUUUUCUCCUUCUCCUUUUUCUUCUACUAGUUUGUUCUUCUUCUAGUUUUAUUCUUCUUAUUCUAGUUUUAUUCUUCUUCUUCUAGUUUUACUCUUCUUCUUGUUCUAGCUUUCUUAUUCUCAUUUUAAAGAUAUCAUUCACCAUGGAA
This 248-nucleotide long non-coding RNA is filed under the name Hordeum vulgare. Its description in RNAcentral is "long non-coding RNA (HVUL_LNC015716)". Lineage: Eukaryota; Viridiplantae; Streptophyta; Magnoliopsida; Poales; Poaceae. The record is from RNAcentral.